This is a long non-coding RNA of Nanorana parkeri, 146 nucleotides long. RefSeq lists it as uncharacterized. The transcript is spliced from 3 exons. The record is from RefSeq and is a predicted model, not a curated record. NCBI's taxonomy places the organism in Eukaryota, Metazoa, Chordata, Amphibia, Anura, Dicroglossidae.
GCAUAUGAAAUGCAGCUCUGCCUCAAAUUCUCACAUUGCACACGAACAUCAACUCUCUUAUCAGUGAACAACAGCUUGCAGCCAAGGUCUCCUGCAAAUGAACGGAGCACACCGAACAAUCGCCGCCCAAACAAACAGGAACUCCA